GCCUCCUGAGUGGCUGGGGCUACAGUGCUCACCACCACACCCGCGUAAAGUUUUUUAUUUUUUGUAGAGCUGGGUCUUGCUGUGUUGCUCAGACUGGUCUUGAACUCCUGGGCUCAAGGGAUUCUCCCAAAGCACUGGGAUUACAGUAACUACAGUUCGGAAGAGAUGAGGUGGCUUUUCCAGGAUUACACAGAAAUAAAAAAUGGAGCCAGGAUUAGAACCGAGCCUGUCUGAGAUCAAAGGUUAUGAUCAUUCCCAUUCGCAGCUCACUUCCAAAUGGCCAACGGGACACAGUGUCUGCCCUUCUAGAGCUUACACAUCGCUGAUGUCGACUACGACCCUGGACCAAGUGAACUCCUAGGUGUGAAGGAAAUGAGCAUAUUUUGAGCAAGGCUGGGACGCUGGGAAGAGGCUGGUGAUGGCAAUGGCAGUGCUUCCCAAACAGGCAGAGCUCCCGCUUCAUUAUCCAGUUUCUUCAAACUCCCUCCCUCUGACCUACCCCAGACUACUGGACUAUAGGUGCCAACGUCCGGCUCUGACCUCAGACCUCUCUUGCUCAGCAUGAGGAAGACGCACUCCAGCUUGGAGGGAUGAAUACACCUGCCCAAGGCCACAAGAUGCAGAGAAACCAGACUCAUCUCAACUGCAAGCUCUCAACUACUCUUGUACACUAAAUUCCUCCUCCUCCAGGCAGCCCUCCUGGUUUCCACUCCUGCAGGGGCAGGGCCCUCCGCUGGGCUGUCACUGCUGGUGUGUGUUUUGCCAUCACAUCCCUGAGCUCCAUGGCUUGUAAGCUCAGGUCCUCAGCUGUCUCCCUCCCUUAAACUGGAAUCUGGUGGGAGGGGAGGUCUGGGUGGGGGUAGGGAUGGCAGAUUUUAUCUGUUUUGCCCAACCCAGUAGCCCAGGGUCUAGAACCGGGCCUGGUACACAGCAAGCGCUCAAUAAAUGUUGCUUAUCCAGGGGGACGGAUUCACAUCUAGCCCACCCCAUCAUGAAUCCCGUAAUGAAUUCUGUUCACAUCAGAUGCCCAGCUCUGCACAAAUGCUGGAAUACAGUAGGCGUUCAAUAAAUGUUCUGUGCCUGAAGCAGCGGAGGGAGAGGUGCAGAAACGAUGUCACAGUCACAGGUGUGAGGCUCCCGGGCCUCAUGAAAGACUGUUAAAUAAACGAGAAGACGGGCAGCAGGGGAAAACGAGGCACGGAGAGGGGCGUGCCCAGUCUGAAGCCACACACCACCCCAGCAGGGGUCCUUCCCAGGUGCGCACACGCCGGCCAACCCUGCCGGCCGCCUCCAGCCCCCUGCUGCUGUCCCCGCCGCCACCAGGAGCGCCAACUGCUCCCGCGGUCCCCCCGCCAGGCCGCCCAGCCCGCCUUCUCCCCGGGGCUGGUGCGUCACACGCGGAAUCUCAC
Long non-coding RNA from Callithrix jacchus (white-tufted-ear marmoset), 1409 nucleotides. RefSeq lists it as uncharacterized. Lineage: Eukaryota; Metazoa; Chordata; Mammalia; Primates; Cebidae. The record is from RefSeq and is a predicted model, not a curated record.